Non-coding RNA from Megalopta genalis, 893 nucleotides. NCBI's taxonomy places the organism in Eukaryota, Metazoa, Arthropoda, Insecta, Hymenoptera, Halictidae. The record is from RefSeq and is a predicted model, not a curated record.
CGGCAUUGCCCGAGCUCCGAAAUCAAAACAAACGUUCCAUGCGACUCGCGCUCGCACGACCAUAACAACGUCGUUGACUUCCAGAAAGGUAUCCCGAGGAGAAGAAUUUGGUCAGAGAAUUUCCAGGGCCAGCAAAGUGAUUUGUCUCGUUAACGUAUUAAUUGCCGCGCGAAUAUCGCGGAACAUUUCUCGGGAGAACGGUACCUCGGCGGCGGCGGCGCAUACCCCGUAAAAUGCGUGGCGAAUUUAUUGCCGUUUAGCCGCGGAUGUCGAGGAAUUCCGCGACGGAAUUGUUUCGGAACUAUGCGGCCACGUUUUUUGUUUCCGCGCGCGGCAGCAAAAGUCCGACGGCGGGACAGCAGAAAAAUACGCCGGUUCCUUCCGACGCCGUUUUAGAGACGCUUUCCGCUCGUGCUCGUUUUUUCACCGUGUAAUUCUACGCUGCUCCCUUUCACCCGUAAUUGAAUCCCGACUCUUUACCCUUUCGACUUUCUUCCCUCCCCCUAUCCCCUCUGCACACUCCAAAACUGUCAUUCUAAAGCUCGGGACCAGUUUCUCUAGAAAUGAUCGCGUUGCGAGCACGCUCGUUGCAAUCUUGGUAAUUUAUGGCAUUCAGCGUAACCGAGGAAAUUCAACCUGGCUGUUUAACUCGCGAUCUCUAUUGACGAGCUAUAACUUCUUCUUCUAAAAAGACUUAAAAUAUUUUAAUAAUUGUAAUAGUAACUGUAAUUAUUAACACAGCUAUUAUUACGGUUAGCUAUUUUACAACCUAAUUUUUCUACCCUUUGUAGUAAUUUUUCUUUGUACUCUUUUCUAUUAUUUUUGUCUUAUAAUAUGUAUGAUUUGAUAUAAUAUAAUUUGUUAUAAUAAUAUAAUUUGUUUUAUAAUUAAAA